Molecule: unclassified non-coding RNA, 218 nt
Filed under: uncultured Tomentella
Lineage: Eukaryota; Fungi; Basidiomycota; Agaricomycetes; Thelephorales; Thelephoraceae
Description: sequence contains ITS2
Source: RNAcentral
ACACCUCAACUCUCGUGGUCUUCCAUGAUGAGCUUGGACUCUGGAGGUUUGCUGGCCCUGUGGCCGGCUCCUCUCAAAUGAAUCAGCUUUCCGACGUUCGGUGGCAUCGCAAGCAUGAUAACUAUCUAUGCUCGUGGUCGUCUGCCGGGUAACCCUCAGCAAUGGAGGUUCGUUGGGGCUUAUAAACGUCUCUCCUCGGCGAGGACAACUUUUUGAAU